AGGGUUCGAUUCUGGCUCAGGAUGAACGCUGGCGGCGUGCUUAACACAUGCAAGUCGAACGGGAUCCAUCAAGCUUGCUUGGUGGUGAGAGUGGCGAACGGGUGAGUAAUGCGUGACCGACCUGCCCCAUACACCGGAAUAGCUCCUGGAAACGGGUGGUAAUGCCGGAUGCUCCAGUUGAUCGCAUGGUCUUCUGGGAAAGCUUUCGCGGUAUGGGAUGGGGUCGCGUCCUAUCAGCUUGACGGCGGGGUAACGGCCCACCGUGGCUUCGACGGGUAGCCGGCCUGAGAGGGCGACCGGCCACAUUGGGACUGAGAUACGGCCCAGACUCCUACGGGAGGCAGCAGUGGGGAAUAUUGCACAAUGGGCGCAAGCCUGAUGCAGCGACGCCGCGUGAGGGAUGGAGGCCUUCGGGUUGUAAACCUCUUUUAUCGGGGAGCAAGCGAGAGUGAGUUUACCCGUUGAAUAAGCACCGGCUAACUACGUGCCAGCAGCCGCGGUAAUACGUAGGGUGCAAGCGUUAUCCGGAAUUAUUGGGCGUAAAGGGCUCGUAGGCGGUUCGUCGCGUCCGGUGUGAAAGUCCAUCGCUUAACGGUGGAUCCGCGCCGGGUACGGGCGGGCUUGAGUGCGGUAGGGGAGACUGGAAUUCCCGGUGUAACGGUGGAAUGUGUAGAUACGUAGGAUAUAUGGAGGAACACCAAUGGCGAAGGCGGCUCUCUGGCCUGUUACUGACGCUGAGGAGCGAAAGCGUGGGGAGCGAACAGGAUUAGAUACCCUGGUAGAG
RNAcentral lists this ribosomal RNA (784 nucleotides) under Bifidobacterium longum. Its description in RNAcentral is "bacterial SSU rRNA". It matches the Rfam family "Bacterial small subunit ribosomal RNA", at positions 8 to 793 of the family's 1533-position model. Lineage: Bacteria; Bacillati; Actinomycetota; Actinomycetes; Bifidobacteriales; Bifidobacteriaceae. The record is from RNAcentral.